Long non-coding RNA from Eriocheir sinensis (Chinese mitten crab), 689 nucleotides. RefSeq lists it as uncharacterized. Lineage: Eukaryota; Metazoa; Arthropoda; Malacostraca; Decapoda; Varunidae. The record is from RefSeq and is a predicted model, not a curated record. The transcript has 4 exons.
CUAAAAUAUGAGCUAUUGAACUUACCAGUGCCAAGACACUUACAGCAGCUACAAGAGGGCGCAGUGCCAACGUUACAUCCUCCAUCACAUGAAGCCCCUGCUUCAGCUGCUGAGUUGGAUAACCCCCAGGAGGGGGUGCUCGUGGAUGACUCUCACCCACAGCCCUCACAGCAGCAACAUGGUCAGGAGAGUGCCGCCCCUGGUGCUGAGUUAGAUGACGACCUGGAGGGUGUACUCGUGAAUGAUCACCCACAGCCUUCACAGCAGCAACAUGGCCAGAAGGGUGCAGGCACUCCAGGGAAGGACGCAGCUUGUGUUCCUGCAACAAGUGACUGUGGAGACAUGGAUUUCCAUCUGUUAAAGGCCAGACAAGAAAAGACAGGUCUUCUUGCAGAAUUAGCGGAGAGGGAUAGCAUCAUUAAGUCUCAGAAUGAAGAAAUUGUGAAGUUAAGGGAGAAGUUGCAAAAUGCUGAAAGUCAGCUAAGCGCGUACAUGUCACCUUCUCAGAUUGAUUGUGUCUUUAGCAAGAAAGCUGUUCACCGGUGGCUGGAUGAGGAUAUCAGCCAUGCACUUUCCUUAAGAAAUUUGAGCGCCAAGGCCUACAAGUUUGUGAGGAAUGAAUGGAAGAUUCCUCUCCCAUCAGUAUCUACACUGAACCGCAGGACAGCCCAAGUAAAUGUCGAGCCUGG